CACAAUUUCCGUAACGCUCUCGUCACGCAUUCGCCAGUUUACUCCCCAAGUCAAGCGUGCGUAAAGACGUUUUACUUCAACAAUAACUUCAGUUCAACGUUUAAA
Molecule: long non-coding RNA, 105 nt
Organism: Melitaea cinxia (Glanville fritillary)
Lineage: Eukaryota; Metazoa; Arthropoda; Insecta; Lepidoptera; Nymphalidae
Exons: 3
Source: RefSeq, a predicted model, not a curated record